UACGUACUCCCUCGGUCCGAAAAUACUUGUCAUCAAAAUGGAUAUAAUGAGAUGUAUGUAGAACUAAAAUAUGUCUAGAUACAUCCCCUUUUGUUCAUUUUAAUGACAAGUAUUUCCGGACGGAGGGAGUAAUAU
Molecule: non-coding RNA, 135 nt
Organism: Triticum urartu
Lineage: Eukaryota; Viridiplantae; Streptophyta; Magnoliopsida; Poales; Poaceae
Source: Rfam